This 356-nucleotide ribosomal RNA is filed under the name uncultured Glomeraceae. Its description in RNAcentral is "SSU rRNA". It matches the Rfam family "Eukaryotic small subunit ribosomal RNA", at positions 569 to 929 of the family's 1831-position model. Lineage: Eukaryota; Fungi; Glomeromycota; Glomeromycetes; Glomerales; Glomeraceae. The record is from RNAcentral.
AGCAGCCGCGGUAAUUCCAGCUCCAAUAGCGUAUAUUAAAGUUGUUGCAGUUAAAAAGCUCGUAGUUGAAUUUCGGGAUCAUCAGGUUGGUCGUGCCUCUGGUAUGUACUUUCCUCGAUGGUUCCUCCUUCUUGAAGAACCGUAAUGCCAUUAAUUUGGUGUUGCGGGGAAACAGGACUGUUACUUUGAAAAAAUUAGAGUGUUUAAAGCAGGCAAUCGCUUGAAUACAUUAGCAUGGAAUAAUGAAAUAGGACGUUCGAUCCUAUUUUGUUGGUUUCUAGGAUUGACGUAAUGAUUAAUAGGGAUAGUUGGGGGCAUUAGUAUUCAAUUGUCAGAGGUGAAAUUCUUGGAUUUAU